GGUUCGAUCAUGGCUCAGAUUGAACGCUGGCGGGAUGCUUUACAUGCGGUCGAACGGCAGCACGGACUUCGGUCUGGUGGCGAGUGGCGAACGGGUGAGUAAUGUAUCGGAACGUGCCUAAAUGGCAGGGGAUAACUACGCGAAAGCGUAGCUAUUACCAUACGCCCUUCGGGGGAAAAGCGGGGACCUUCGGGCUCGCGCCACUAUUCAAACAGCCCGAUAUCAGUUAGCCUAGUUGGUGGGGUAACGGCUCACCAAGGCGACGAUCCGUAGCUGGUUUGAGAGGAACGACGGCCUGGGGCUGAGACACGGCGAACUCCUACGGGGAGGCGGUGGGGAAUUUUGGACGAGGAAACCCUGAUCCAGCCAUCCCGCGUGUGCGAUGAAGGCCUUCGGGUUGUAAAGCACUUUUGGCAGAAAGAAACGGCACGGGACAAUACCCGUGCAACUGACGAAGCCACCUGCAGAAUAAGCACCGGCUAACUACGUGCCAGCAGCCGCGGUAAUACGUAGGGUGCAAGCGUUAAUCAGAUUACUGGGCGUAAAGCGUGCGCAGGCGGUUCGGAAGAAAAAGAUGUAGAAAUCCAGAGCUUGCUUUGGAACUGCAUUUUUUAACUACCGAGCUAGAGUGUGUCAGGAGGUGGAAUUCCGCGUGUAGCAGUGAAAUGCGUAGAUAUGCGGAGGGAACACCGAUGGCGAAAGGCAGCCUCCUGGGAUAACACUGACGCUCAUGCACGAAAGCGUGGGGAGCAAACAGGAUUAGAUACCCUGGUAGUCCGCUGAAACGAUGUCAACUAGCUGUUGGGGCCUUCGGGCCUUGGUGGCCUGUAUGCAGUGGUUGACCACUUUCGAUACGGUCGCAAAGUUAAAAACAAAGAUUGACGGGGACCCGCACCAAACGGUGGAUGAUGUGGAUUAAUUCGAUGCAACGCGAAAAACCUUACCUACCCUUGACAUGUCUGAUCCAGGAAUUGGAGUGCUCACCAAGAGAACCGGAACCCACAGAUGCUGUUUAUCGUCUGUCAGCUCAGUAUCGAUGGAUAUUGGUUCGAUCCUGGCAAGCGCAACCAUGUCAUUGGUUGCUUAUGAGGCACUCAUCAAGACCUGGUGUCGUGGAGGAAGGUGAGGAUGACGUCAAGUCCUCAUGGCCCUUAUGGGUAGGGCUUCACGUCAUACAAUGGUCGGGACAGAGGGUCGCCAACCCGCGAGGAGCCAAUCCCAGAAACCCGAUCAUGGUCGGAUCGCAGUCUGCAACUCGACUGCGUGAAGUCGGAAUCGCUAGUAAUCGCGGAUCAGCAUGUCGCGGUGAAUACGUUCCGGUCUUGUACACACCGCCGUCACACCAUGGGAGUGGUUUUACCGGAAAAUGGUUAGCUGCUCGUAAGGAGGGCGAUUACCACGGUAGGAUUCAUGUGCGGGUGAAGUCGUAACUAAAACUACCUGUUACGGAGUACUCCAGGAGCAAUGCAUGGCGCC
Molecule: ribosomal RNA, 1476 nt
Filed under: uncultured Bordetella sp.
Lineage: Bacteria; Pseudomonadati; Pseudomonadota; Betaproteobacteria; Burkholderiales; Alcaligenaceae
Description: partial 16S-23S ribosomal RNA intergenic spacer
Rfam family: Bacterial small subunit ribosomal RNA
Source: RNAcentral